Osmia bicornis bicornis is the source of this 582-nucleotide long non-coding RNA. RefSeq lists it as uncharacterized. The transcript has 4 exons. Lineage: Eukaryota; Metazoa; Arthropoda; Insecta; Hymenoptera; Megachilidae. The record is from RefSeq and is a predicted model, not a curated record.
ACAGUUGUCAAGAAAUUUAGUGAAUUCCGUUUUGUAAGAUUUUAGGUUAUAUUUGCCUAUGGUGAAAUAAAACUAAUUCACAGGAAUUGAAUUUCCUUUUCUAUCUUUUCUGCAUAAGUCUUCUUUGCUUCUAAAUGUUUUAAUCCUUUUUCUAAUUAGCGUGAACAAUGGAAUAUUACAGUUGGAAUAUUAAACAUUUCAUUGAUGGGGAAAUUACAACCAAGAAAUGAUGGUGUAUCAAAGUUGAAUAGAUACAUUGAAGAUACUUUCCAGCGUAGAAUGAAAUACUAGGACGAACGACAAAGACGUACUCUCCAAACAGAUGCAAUUACUUUCUUGCAUGAUAUAUCUGGAAAUAUGUUUAAGUAUUUAUUCAGACAUUCAUGAGGAAAUUACAAGCAUAAAAUUAUGGAGCAGAAAAGUUGAAUAGAUUCAUUACAGAUAUUUUCCAGCAUGGAAUUAAAUACUAGGACAUAUAACAAAAACAUACUACGCAAGCAGAUGCAAUUACUUUCUUACAAGAUAUAUGUGGAAAUAUGUUUAAGGAUUCAUUCAGACAUUGAUGAGGAACUUCCAACCAAA